CCUACGGGUGGCAGCAGUGAGGAAUAUUGGUCAAUGGACGAGAGUCUGAACCAGCCAAGUAGCGUGAAGGAUGACUGCCCUAUGGGUUGUAAACUUCUUUUAUAUGGGAGUAAAAUGUUCCACGUGUGGGAUUUUGUAUGUACCAUAUGAAUAAGGAUCGGCUAACUCCGUGCCAGCAGCCGCGGUAAUACGGAGGAUCCGAGCGUUAUCCGGAUUUAUUGGGUGUAAAGGGAGCGUAGGUGGAUUGUUAAGUCAGUUGUGAAAGUUUGCGGCUCAACCGUAAAAUUGCAGUUGAAACUGGCAGUCUUGAGUACAGUAGAGGUGGGCGGAAUUCGUGGUGUAGCGGUGAAAUGCUUAGAUAUCACGAAGAACUCCGAUUGCGAAGGCAGUUCACUGGACUGCAACUGACACUGAGGCUCGAAAGUGUGGGUAUCAAACAGGAUUAGAUACCCUGGUAGUC
Molecule: ribosomal RNA, 460 nt
Filed under: uncultured bacterium
Lineage: Bacteria
Description: partial 16S ribosomal RNA
Rfam family: Bacterial small subunit ribosomal RNA
Source: RNAcentral